CUGAAAAUAAACCAGAGGAGAACCAAGAGAGAACUGCACAGGCGUCAAGGACAAAUGAAGUAAGACGACAACAGAAUUACGUCACCAUGGAGCGGCCAAGUGGAGCUGAGAAUAAACCAGAGGAGAACCAAGAGAGAACUGCACAGGCGUCAAGGACAAAUGAAGCAAGACGACAACAGAAUUACGUCACCAUGGAUCG
Long non-coding RNA from Haliotis rubra (blacklip abalone), 199 nucleotides. RefSeq lists it as uncharacterized. The transcript is spliced from 4 exons. NCBI's taxonomy places the organism in Eukaryota, Metazoa, Mollusca, Gastropoda, Lepetellida, Haliotidae. The record is from RefSeq and is a predicted model, not a curated record.